This 7541-nucleotide long non-coding RNA is filed under the name Panax ginseng (ginseng). RNAcentral's name for it is "long non-coding RNA (PGIN_LNC003308)". The record is from RNAcentral. Lineage: Eukaryota; Viridiplantae; Streptophyta; Magnoliopsida; Apiales; Araliaceae.
AAAUUUGCAGUGUCAAAAGUAGUAAGACGAAUAUAUUUACUCCAUUUCAAAAUUAGCCAUACAUUUGUAAAAUUAAUAUUUGCAAGUAUAACUUUAUUUUUCAAAACUUAUCCCUAGCAUUGGCUUAAAAAUGUAGCAGUGGCAUGUGAAGAACUUUAUGUUAAGUAAUAGCAUGUUAAGUACUGUCUAACAAUAAAAAUGAAUCUCUAGUUUGGAACGGACAAAUAAGGGAAACGCAUCUCUAAAAUUUUUGGGACAGUUUUGAAGUUAUGAGUUGUAGCAGCAUUGUGGCUAUAUAUAAACAUCAACAAGUUCAUGUUUGUUAAUAAAAUGUUUUUGCAGAAGCCCCAAUUCCAGUCAAUGUGGUAUUAUCCAUCAGUCACUCCGUGUUUGUGAAGGGAGAUCAUACAAACUUCGAGAUCGAACCAUCAUUUGGAGUGGAGGCUUCUGCACUGUAUCCUGAUGUCAAAUACACCACUGUGGACGAGUACCUCAACCAAUUUGUCUGAAAAUAAAACCCCAAGGCUUGUUGUUAAGCAUUUUCUGCUAUCCUCUAUCUUAAAUAAUAAUAAUAAUAAUACGACAGUUAGCUGCGUGUAGUCUGUAAUUACUUUUAUGCGAAUUCAGGAAGUUUACUUGUUGGAGAUGGUAUUGUCUGUUAAUACUCUGGUUUUUGAAACAGGCAACUGUUUCUGCGAGAAAGGAUGAUUUCAUUUUACUUGCUCUAUAAUGUAUUUUGCUUAUUGAGAGAGUUAUUUAAGAAAUCUUCUGUUUCCUUGAUCAGUUUUAUUUUCAGUCUUUUACUGAAAAAUAGUGCAUUUGUGACAGAUUUCUUUAAUUGAUUUUUUUUUUCGUCAUUGAUUCCCAACAAGAAUAGAAGAGGACUCAACUGUUUAUGAAAACAGGUAAAACACCCACCAAAAAAAUACGACACAACUCUUUAUCCAAGUCUGAGCAUAAAACAUGGUUCGAAUAAAAAUAUGAGGAGAAUCUGAGUAAAGUUAUACUCGUUUAAUAUUCAAACUACUCGAAUUCACAAUUGUUAUUCGAUACACACUCAAUUGAUUCAAUUAGAUACUCGAUACAUUCUCUUAUAAUAUAUAUAAAAUUAAAUCAAAUUAAGUUAUUUAAUUAUUAUUGUUUUGUUUUAUUUUUAUUUUUAAUUGUGAUUUUAUAUUUGAAGUGUAAUAGUAACUAUAUUUUCUCAUUUCAAAGUAAAACAACAAAUUCAAUUUAUAAUUAUAUUUAUUAUGAAGCUAGUUAUUACGUGGAGACUCGAAUUCGAGCUUGAAUUUGAAGCUCGCGAGUAGUUUGAAUAUAAUUUGAUCCGAGUCAGAUCGAAUUCGAGAAAUAAAUAUUCGAGUCGAAUCUGAGUAGAAUUUUUCAAAUACAAUUCGAAUUUAAGUAUAAAUUUAAAGUUUUGAGUCAAAUUCGAAUAACUCUCUGUUCGAUUCGGCUCGUUUAUCCCUUAAGUUUCAAUUCCAUUUUUAUGCUCGCUGUUCUUUUGUUUCCAGUUAUACCUUGGCUGAUACCUUGUUUGUAAGUUUUGGGGGGCAGCUGGGCAAGGAAUGCUAAAGUUUUGGGGUAACGAAUAAUAAGAAUUUUUAAACAAGGAAAUUAUGAAUAGGAAAGGAAGAAUAUUUUUUUCUUUUGUUGUGUUUGUAAGUUUACAAUGUUAGGGGCCUUAGGGGAAUUUAAGAAUAAAAAAGAAGUUUAUUAAACACAUUUUUCAAUGCUCAACUUUUUCGUGACUUAGGUACUGUUUAAUUACAUCUUAAUAUCUCUUAAAGUCUUAAUAGGUUUGCUGUGAUUCGGUCGGAAACAAAACCUAUUUGAUAAAAAAUUUAAUGCAUCUUAAUCUGUAACAAUUCUAAACCAUUUAAAGUCUCCUCUUACAGAGUUUCAUUUUCUUGGGAACCUCAGCUGUAUUACAAAAUCCGACUUUUGUCCACGAUACAAUCUGACUAUUGAUCUCUCACGUUUCAUUCACUUCGAUCCGCCGCUCCUGUAUGCUCCUUCCGCUGGUCAAUUAAAUCCUCGAUCUUUGUUCUUGCUGAAGCUACAGGUGCGAUUUCUUUGAAUCUAAAAUUUCUUUGACGCUGCAGGUGCGAUUUCUUUGUUUCUGAGUUUUGUGAUUUCGUUGAUCUAUUUGUUGUGUCUGCUUGAGAUUUUAUUUUUAAUGCGGUAUAUUUUGCUCUUCCCCAUUAAAAAAAAGCUUUUUGUGUUGGUUUAUUUUUGUUAUUGGUUCUACUUCUUGAUUUUCUUGCCUUGAAUCUGUGAUUAAUGUGUGUUUUUGAAUACAUUGUGAACUGGGAGUGUGCUGUUGAUGAUGGAUACACUAUGAUAACAAACAUGAAUGCUUUAGGUGAUUUUCGAAAACAUUGAGUUUAGUAAUAUUGCUUAGUGCUUACACUACUUUUUUUUCCUAUGAAAAAUCUACCCAAACCCAUUUAAUGGGUGUUGAUAUGGAUGGACUGCCCGUUGGAUUUGAACUCAUAUUGUCAAGUAAUGGAUUUGAACUCAUAUGACCAAGUCUAGUGCUGACAUAUUAGUAUAUUACACUACAAAAUUUCAUGUGCAACAUCAAAUAGUAGCUACAAAUGACUACUAUGUGAUCCUCCAUAUACUCUGGCUAUAUCUUGUUGGUGAAGUCUAGAAGGCUCGGUUCCAUAGUUUUCUUUUGCACUGUAUGUAUUCAUUUUGAAACUGGAAGCUCUUUUCAAGAUCAUCUCCUAAAAUCGCUUAGUUUAUGUUCCAAAAGACCUCCCUGUAAGCAUUGCACAGUUGUUUCUUCUGAAUACCUGUGGGCUCUGGGCCAAACCUGUUAUUUCCACCGUUCCUCUUCUCACCAGAGGUUCCAGACAUACCACAAAUAACAACAACUAAAAGGAUCUUCAAGGCACCUUGACAAGAUAAUGACAAUUUCAUGUCAGCAAGGUUUGAGAGAUACAAUUGGCAGUCCUUCAUACAUAGCUAUAUAAGUAUAAUAUCCAUUUGAGCACCAAAUAGAGCUUUUACUGGAGCUGUAAUAUCAAUUGGAGCAACUUAUAACAACUUUUUCCACCCAUAUUGGGACCAAUAUGAUUUGACAGUAGUCGCUUUUUGUAUGCAAAUUUGUAUCAUUUGGCACAAAGUUAUCUUGUAAUAUAGUCUCAACUCUCAAGAAUCUGUUCAAUUGUUUAAACUUUAAGGUGAUUUUCGAAAACAUUGAGUUUAGUAAUAUUGCUUAGUGCUUACACUCUUUUACAGUAGGAUGCAGAUAAAGACAAACUUUUGUAUAACUUUUGUUUGUCAAAACUCUAUUGUAAUGCAAACAUGAAGUAUUUGGUGAUCAAUUUUAAAAUUGCCACAGGUUACUUGACAUUACAAUAAUUACAUGAUUGUGUUUAGUGCUUAGUGUUUAGCAUAUCAUUGCUUUUAACAGCUAAUCUUAUUUUCCGAGUUGAAGAUCAACAAGCUUUCUUCUAUUUGUGUAUUCUAUUUGCUUAAAUUUAUCAACAGCUGAUCUUAUUUAUUAUAUUUGCUUAAAUUUAUCAUUAUCAACGUCCGUCUCAAAUAAUUUAUCAUUAUGCGGCAAAUAAUAAUUACAACAUCCACCUUUCACUUGCAUGAAUGCACAAUAUUGACUUCACUUGCAUGAAAAUUUCAAAAUAGACUCUCUUAACAAUGCACUAUUCUAUUUAUUAUUGUAUUUUCUUCAAAUAUUUAUUGUAGUCUAUAAAGUCUAAUUUGUUCAAACUAUUUAAAUGUUUGUUCUUUAUUGUUUACAUCUUUUAUAAUUUAUGUACUUUAGGUAUGGAACAAGCCAGUGAAACUAAAAAACAAAAAGGACUAGAGUGAGUUGGAGGAAUGAAACAUUAGUGAAGACUUUUUUAGAAGCAUGUAUUCGUGAGGUUGUGGAAAAUGGUAAGGAAAGUGCCAGCCUCAAGCCACAAUCAUGGAGAAGGGUAGGAGAAAUAUUAAAAGAUUCCUACAACUUGAUUGUGGAUCAAAAACAAAUGAAGAAUCAUUAUGACUACUUGCGAGGAAAAUAUUGUGCAUGGUGAAAACAUAAAAGUAAGACAGGAAAUGUGUAUGACCCGUCAACUAAUAGGUUCAACCUUUUAGAUGAGGAAUGUAUACAAGAGAUAAAUGUGUUCUUUUAAUUUUUUUACCUUUUAAGUUGAUUAGUAAUAAUGUUAAAAAUAUGUUAUAACAUGUUGAACUUACUAUUUGAAUACAUGCAAAUAAAAUGGUAGAAACUUUGAAGAUCUCGCCUCUAAUCUUCCCCGAUCUGUGUGUUGCAUUAUUUGAUGGAACCGCGGCAACGGGACAUGAUAGUUUGGGUCCUAGCUAUGGAAGAGUUAGGACUAAAAAUACAUCUUUGGACUUGGAGGUUGUUAGUCUUGAAGACAUUCCUUUUAACACACAAGGUCAAGGGUCAUCUAUGCUUGACAACACCAUUGUUUUGAAAAAAAUUCACGAAAAUUUUAGUAAUAAGUCAUCUUAAACUUCAAUGCUAAUUUAACCAUUAAGUUGGUGGAAUUUCACAUUGUUUCAACAUCAAAAGAAACAAGACUAUAACAAUCAGUUUUCUUCCUCUCCACACACUUUUUAAAAUUUCCUCAUUCAAGCGGAGAUGACAUCACAUAUUGAAUCACAUUUCAAAAUUUUAAGUAAGAUUGUGUUUACUCUUGUAAACAAUCUUUUACAACAAGAUUCAAACUGUGAGCACGUCUCAUGUGUAGGAAAUAACAACUAAAUCUUUUUGCUUCCCCAAUCCUUAUUCUCCUUUUCAAAUAACUAAUGACACUAUCAUUGGAGCUUGAAUUGUCAUUCGUUAUUGUCAUCAAUGCCCCAAUCUAGCAAGCAUGUUUCCGCGAACUUACCAAUUGUUUCCCCUUUGUGUUCAAGAGCUUGGAAAAGAUUUUUAAUUCUUUUUUGUAUUUUCCAAUCCGCGCCAAUCCAAUAGAAUGCAACACACGUAUAGCUUCCAAGUAACAAUUGUAGGCACACACGUUGCAAGUUUAAAUUUCGUUUUUAAAGUUUCCCUUCUCUUUCGACAUAAAUUUGCAUAACAUCUGUCACAACAGUCAUACGAGAUGGCAUCGUAAACCUUGCUUCUAAUGAGCCUCUUAAAACCUUCUAAGUUCUAACUCCAUAAACCUAAAUGACAACUCGUCAAUUAUUAUCAUCUCCGCAUCCAUCAUUAUCUCGUUGGGGUCAUAACAAUUGCCCUCAAAUCACCUGUAAAACCCCAACUUUUUGAAUAAAGAUGAAUUUUCUAUAAAUAUUAUUUUUGAAUAUUAUGGAGUAAAUUUAAUAUAACACGCAGUUGGUGGAUCAGGACAAACUCAUCGUUGCUAUCAAAGAAGCUGGUAACGUCAAGGUAAUAUUAAUAUUAAUUACUAUUAUAAUUAUGAGAUAUUAUGUUGAUUAUUCAUUUCAUCUAGUAUUUAAAUUUUAAUUGUGUUGCAAUAAUAUCAUAUUCAAAUGUUAGUACGUUAGACUGUUACGUUACUGUGUGGAUUUAUGAAUCAUUAUUCUAAUUUUUACAUAUAAAUCAUAAAUAUGUCAUAAAUAUGGGAGUAUGAACUAUGAGAAAAAUGUCACUACAAGACAAUUAAUAUAGACUUUGGAUGCAUUUGGAACUGCUGGUGGAAUUUAGCAAACUUUGUACUUCACCCUAUCCAAAACAAAGUCUCUCAUUUGCCCAUGAAGCCUAGGUUUUUCUAGAAGCAAGAUGAUAGAUCUAAAUUUCCGGGGACCAUUUAGGCACAUUGUAACUUUUUGGAAAGUGAUUUCAUAAAUUGGAUCAGAUUUUUCAUUUUUUUCUUCUGCAAUACCUCUUGCUCACUAAAUUUUGAAUAAGGCGAUAGAAGUGAAGAAGGUAGUGCAUGCAGGGUAUUAGGUUCUGUCUUUUAGUUCAUUCUAUUUAAGAGUUCAAUUAAUUGUGCAGUCCUAUAUUCAGACACCUGCCUUCUUGAUGUUGAUACAAUAGUUUACUUGCAAUAAUCUGAUUAUGAAUAUUUCGAUAAAUGAUAUUGAACUUGACUGAAAAUGCGGAACAUUGUAUAGAGAUUCUUUCCCUCCGAGUUUGGAAACGAUGUGGAUCACGUCCAUGCUGUUGAGCCAGCAAAGUCGGCAUUUGCUAUCAAGGCUCAAAUCCGCCGUGCUGUUGAGACUGCUGGAAUUCCCUAUACCUAUGUGUCUUCCAACUUUUUUACUGGCUCUGUCCUUCCAAAUUUGUCCCAGACAGGGGCUACAGCACCCCCCAGAGAUAAAGUUGUUAUAUUGGGGGAUGGGAAUCCAAAAGGUAAAUCAAUUUUUAUAUAUUUGCUUGCUUCUAGGUGAAAUUUGAGAAUGCUGAUAAAUUGCAUUUGCAUGUAACAUUUGGGCUUGUGAGAAUGUUGUUAUGUUGUACACAUUCCAUUCUUGUUCUGUGAUUGACCAGUGUAUGUCUCUUCAUAAAGAAAUGAGCAUAUAAGAGAUCUAAUGAUUUUUGCAUUGCUAAGAGAUUGAAGAUAUCUUGUAGGUAUCUCAAAUGCAUCUUAUCAGUUGAUUUUUAUUUAAUUUUACUUUUGCAGCGAUAUUUAACAAGGAAGAUGACAUUGGAACCUACACUAUUAAAGCUGUGGAUGACCCGAGAACCUUGAACAAAAUCCUCUAUAUCAGACCUCCUGGCAACAUAUAUUCUUUCAAUGACCUGGUGGCUUUGUGGGAGAGAAAGAUUGACAAAACUCUUGAAAAGAUUUAUGUUCCAGAGGCCCAAGUUCUGAAGAACAUUCAGGGUAAGUGAAAAUUUGCAGUGCCGUAAGACGAAGAUAUUUACUCCAUUUCAAAAUUAGCCAUACAUUUGUAAAAUUAAUAUUUGAAAGUAUAACUUUAUUUUUCAAAACUUAUCCCUAGCCGUGGCUUAAAUUUCAUGUGAAGAACUUUAUGUUAAGUAAUAGCAUUUUAAGUACUGUCUAACAAUAAAAAUGAAUCUCAGUUUGGAACGGACAAAGAAGGGAAACACAUCUCUAAAAAUUUUGGGACAGUUUUGAAGUUAUGAGUUGUAGCAGCAUUGUGGCUAUAUAUUAACAUCAACAAGUUCAUGUUUGUUAAUAAAAUGUUUUUGCAGAAGCCCCAAUUCCAGUCAAUGUGAUAUUAUCCAUCAAUCACUCCGUGUUUGUGAAGGGAGAUCAUACAAACUUCGAGAUCGAACCAUCAUUUGGAGUGGAGGCAUCUGCACUGUAUCCUGAUGUCAAAUACACCACUGUGGACGAGUACCUCAACCAAUUUGUCUGAAAAUAAAACCCCAAGGCUUGUCGUUAAGCAUUUCCUGUUAUCCUCUAUCUUAAAUAAUAAUAAUAAUAAUACUACAGUUAGCUGCGUGUAGUCUGUAAUUACUUUUAUGAGAAUUCAGCGAGUGUACAUGUUGGAGAUGGUAUUGUGUGUUAAUACUCUGUUUUUUGAAACAGGCAACUGUUUCUGCGAGAAUGGAUGAUUUCAUUUUAGUUGCUCUAUAAUGUAUUUUGCUUAUUGAGAGAGUUAUUUAAGAAAUCUUCUGUUUCCUUAAA